This 455-nucleotide ribosomal RNA is filed under the name uncultured bacterium. RNAcentral's name for it is "bacterial SSU rRNA". It matches the Rfam family "Bacterial small subunit ribosomal RNA", at positions 340 to 786 of the family's 1533-position model. The record is from RNAcentral.
UACGGAAGGCAGCAGUGGGGAAUAUUGCACAAUGGGCGCAAGCCUGAUGCAGCCAUGCCGCGUGUAUGAAGAAGGCCUUCGGGUUGUAAAGUACUUUCAGCGGGGAGGAAGGCGAUGCGGUUAAUAACCGCGUCGAUUGACGUUACCCGCAGAAGAAGCACCGGCUAACUCCGUGCCAGCAGCCGCGGUAAUACGGAGGGUGCAAGCGUUAAUCGGAAUUACUGGGCGUAAAGCGCACGCAGGCGGUCUGUUAAGUCAGAUGUGAAAUCCCCGGGCUUAACCUGGGAACUGCAUUUUGAAACUGGCAGGCUUGAGUCUUGUAGAGGGGGUAGAAGUUCCAGGUGUAGCGGUGAAAUGCGUAGAGAUCUGGAGGAAUACCGGUGGCGAAGGCGGCCCCUGGGACAAAGCUGACGCUCAGGUGCGAAAGCGUGGGGAGCAAACAGGGAUUAGAUACC